Molecule: non-coding RNA, 100 nt
Organism: Podarcis lilfordi (Lilford's wall lizard)
Lineage: Eukaryota; Metazoa; Chordata; Lepidosauria; Squamata; Lacertidae
Source: the annotation of a GenBank genome assembly
GGGCCAGCUUAGCCUAGCGGUUACUUCGACUCUACAUUUGUCAGACUCUCUAAUUGCUUAACGGCAGUUUGAUACCCCGCAGGCGCUGUCUGGUCUUUUU